UACGUAGGGGGCUAGCGUUGUCCGGAAUCAUUGGGCGUAAAGCGCGUGUAGGCGGUCCGGUAAGUCCGCUGUGAAAGUCGGGGGCUCAACCCUCGGAUGCCGGUGGAUACUGUCGGGCUUGAGUACGGAAGAGGCGAGUGGAAUUCCUGGUGUAGCGGUGAAAUGCGCAGAUAUCAGGAGGAACCCCAAUAGCGAAGGCAGCUCGCUGGGACGGUACUGACGCUAAGGCGCGAAAGCGUGGGGAGCGAACAGG
Molecule: ribosomal RNA, 253 nt
Filed under: uncultured bacterium
Lineage: Bacteria
Description: partial 16S ribosomal RNA
Rfam family: Bacterial small subunit ribosomal RNA
Source: RNAcentral